GUUUUUUUUCUUUGUUAAUUCCUUUCUGUGGACUGACUUGAAGAACAAGGAAAUAUGAGGUGGAAAACAAAAUUGGUUUGGAUCAAAUUUUGAAAAACUUUGUCUCUGAAGGAGGAAGGAGAAGAAGAAAGAACUUUUGUUGAAAGUUGAAACCCAUAUGGUUUUGAUGGAUUCACAAAGCAAUAACCAAGAAAACAUCAACAGUAGCAGCACUAAAGAUCGCCACCACCUUCACCAUGGCCAAAAACAAGAAUCAGGAGACGCAGCAGCUGCUGCGGCUACCACCACCACUACUUCUCAGGGCCCAUUCAUGGGCUCCAUCUCC
Molecule: unclassified non-coding RNA, 325 nt
Filed under: Hevea brasiliensis (rubber tree)
Lineage: Eukaryota; Viridiplantae; Streptophyta; Magnoliopsida; Malpighiales; Euphorbiaceae
Source: RNAcentral